AGUGAACGCUGGCGGCAGGCCUAACACAUGCAAGUCGAGCGGCAGCGGGUCCUUCGGGCUGCCGGCGAGCGGCGGACGGGUGAGGAAUACAUCGGAAUCUGCCCUGUCGUGGGGGAUAACCUAGGGAAACUUAGGCUAAUACCGCAUACGACCUACGGGUGAAAGCGGGGGAUCGCAAGACCUCGCGCGACAGGAUGAGCCGAUGUCCGAUUAGCUAGUUGGCGGGGUAAAGGCCCACCAAGGCGACGAUCGGUAGCUGGUCUAAGAGGAUGAUCAGCCACACUGGGACGGGGACACGGCCCAGACUCCUACGGGAGGCAGCAGUGGGGAAUAUUGGACAAUGGGCGCAAGCCUGAUCCAGCCAUGCCGCGUGGGUGAAGAAGGCCUUCGGGUUGUAAAGCCCUUUUGUCCGGGAAGAAAUCGUCUGGGCUAAUACCCCGGGCGGAUGACGGUACCGGAAGAAUAAGCACCGGCUAACUUCGUG
This 484-nucleotide ribosomal RNA is filed under the name uncultured bacterium. Its description in RNAcentral is "partial 16S ribosomal RNA". It matches the Rfam family "Bacterial small subunit ribosomal RNA", at positions 30 to 507 of the family's 1533-position model. The record is from RNAcentral.